This 1423-nucleotide ribosomal RNA is filed under the name Micrococcus luteus. RNAcentral's name for it is "bacterial SSU rRNA". It matches the Rfam family "Bacterial small subunit ribosomal RNA". The record is from RNAcentral. Lineage: Bacteria; Bacillati; Actinomycetota; Actinomycetes; Micrococcales; Micrococcaceae.
CUUACACAUGCAGUCGUACGAUGGAAGGCCGGUCUUGGCUGGGUGGAUUAGUGGCGAACGGGGUGAGUAACACGUGAGUAACCUGCCCUUAACUCUGGGAUAAGCCUGGGAAACUAGGUCUAAUACCGGAUAGGAGCGCCUACCGCAUGGUGGGUGUUGGAAAGAUUUAUCGGUUUUGGAUGGACUCGCGGCCUAUCAGCUUGUUGGUGAGGUAAUGGCUCACCAAGGCGACGACGGGUAGCCGGCCUGAGAGGGUGACCGGCCACACUGGGACUGAGACACGGCCCAGACUCCUACGGGAGGCAGCAGUGGGGAAUAUUGCACAAUGGGCGAAAGCCUGAUGCAGCGACGCCGCGUGAGGGAUGACGGCCUUCGGGUUGUAAACCUCUUUCAGUAGGGAAGAAGCGAAAGUGACGGUACCUGCAGAAGAAGCACCGGCUAACUACGUGCCAGCAGCCGCGGUAAUACGUAGGGUGCGAGCGUUAUCCGGAAUUAUUGGGCGUAAAGAGCUCGUAGGCGGUUUGUCGCGUCUGUCGUGAAAGUCCGGGGCUUAACCCCCUGAAUCAGUCAGCGUGGGGUACGGGGCAGACUAAGAAGUGCAGUAGGGGAGACUGGGAAUUCCUGGUGUAGCCGGUGGGAAUUGCGCAGAUAUCAGGGAGGAACACCCGAUGGCGAAAGGCAGGUCUCUGGGGCUGUAAACUGACGCUGAGGGAGCGAAAGCAUGGGGGGAGCCGAACAGCGAUUAGAUUACCCUUGGUAGUCCGAUGCCGGUAAACCGUUUGGGGCACUAGGUGUGGGGGGACCAUUUCCACCGGUUUCCCGCGCCGCAGGCUAAAGGCAUUAAGGUGUCCGCCCGGACCUGGGGGAGUCACGGCCCGCAAGGGCUAAAAACUCAAAGGAAAUUGGACGGGGGCCCGCACAAGCGGCGGAGCAUGCGGAUUAAUUCGAUGCAACGCGAAGAACCUUACCAAGGCUUGACAUGUUCUCGAUCGCCGUAGAGAUACGGUUUCCCCUUUGGGGCGGGUUCACAGGUGGUGCAUGGUUGUCGUCAGCUCGUGUCGUGAGAUGUUGGGUUAAGUCCCGCAACGAGCGCAACCCUCGUUCCAUGUUGCCAGCACGUAAUGGUGGGGACUCAUGGGAGACUGCCGGGGUCAACUCGGAGGAAGGUGAGGACGACGUCAAAUCAUCAUGCCCCUUAUGUCUUGGGCUUCACGCAUGCUACAAUGGCCGGUACAAUGGGUUGCGAUACUGUGAGGUGGAGCUAAUCCCAAAAAGCCGGUCUCAGUUCGGAUUGGGGUCUGCAACUCGACCCCAUGAAGUCGGAGUCGCUAGUAAUCGCAGAUCAGCAACGCUGCGGUGAAUACGUUCCCGGGCCUUGUACACACCGCCCGUCAAGUCACGAAAGUUGGUAACACCCGAAGCC